This 494-nucleotide ribosomal RNA is filed under the name uncultured bacterium. RNAcentral describes it as "partial 16S ribosomal RNA". It matches the Rfam family "Bacterial small subunit ribosomal RNA", at positions 28 to 507 of the family's 1533-position model. The record is from RNAcentral.
GACGAACGCUGGCGGCGUGCUUAACACAUGCAAGUCGAACGGUGAAGCGCCUUUCUUGUUGGUGGGUGUGGAUGAGUGGCGAACGGGUGCGUAACACGUGAGUAACCUGCCCCCUUCUUCUGGAUAACCGCAUGAAAGUGUGGCUAAUACGGGAUAUUCUGGGUCUGUGGGAUGAUGGGACUGGGAAAGAUUUUGUUUCGGUGGGGGAUGGGUUCGCGGCCUAUCAGCUUGUUGGUGGGGUGAUGGCCUACCAAGGCGGUGGCGGGUAGCCGGCCUGAGAGGGUGGCCGGCCGCACUGGGGCUGGGGCACGGCCGGGACUCCUACGGGACGCAGCAGUGGGGGGUAGUGCACAAUGGGCACAAGCCUGAAGCGGCGGCGCCGCGUGGGGGAUGGAGCCCUUCGGGUUGUGAACCUCUUUCGCCAGUGAAGCAGGCCUGCCUCGUUUGUGGGUGGGUUGACGGUAGCUGGUUAAGAAGCACCGGCUAACUACGUG